CCGCGCAAUUACGGCGACGGCGACGCCGCUCAAGCCGGAAAUGGGCGCCUAAGAGCUGUGUCCUAAAAGAGAUGUAUUGCAGUCGUCAAGAGGGAUGAAAGAGCAUAUUUCAGAGUACCCAAAACAACUAAAGCAUGCUCUGAGCAUGUUGUGGAAGCUGAUUUCUGGAAAGGUCUGGCAAGUGGCCGGCAGCUUCAGGGGGACACGGCUGUGCCAUCCGUCCUCGUCUUUUGGAGGGUGAAGCCCUCAAGAAAGGCACUUCUUCCGCGGUUACUGUGCACACUCUCUAGCAUCCAACGGCCACAGAACGGGAGGAACACGGUUCAUGAACACUGUGCGCAAGCAGAUAAGAAAAAUUUGGCACCCACCACGGGAUGCUAUCCCCGAACAACGGUCUGCACCUUCAAACACAAGUCACCAGAGCUGCAGGAGCAAGCUGCAGGAGCAAGCUGCAGGAGCAAGCUGCAAAACUGCAAAUGCAGCAACACCAUUGUAGCACUACAAGCAUAGCUAGCCACAAGCAAGGUGAACAAAUCGAGGCUUCAAAAAGAGCUGCACACUCAACAAGCCAAGAGCCAUAACGAGGUAGGGCUGCAGUCUGAAACGGAGGCCGAACUUGCCAGAGGUUGGAAGCUAAGAGCAGAGCCUGAAGUACAACUUAACACAAGCAAGCUCACUGAAGUAAACUGGAUGCAAAGAUGUGGUGAAUGGAAAGGGUUCAGAAAGAUUGUUAGUAACUGAGUUUGAUAUAGAUGCUUACAGUAGUGAAACUCAUCAUAAACAUGCGUGGUUCAACAAUGCUAUUUCGAUGGCCUGCAGGAACUGUACAAACGGCUUAUGGAGACAGGGUGUGACUCCCGCUGGAGUCAUGAGGCGGUUUCGAAGAGGAGGAAGCAACAGCAGCGACGACGCCAAAGCAGUGCGGGAGCUGUUCACACGGUACUUCGUCAACGAGGGACAAGUGAGCUGGCAGUGGUGGAUGGUUGCCUAAGAAGGCACGCUGUCAUUACAUGUGCAUGAGGACACAAGACUGUGUGGGAGAACCAGCCCCGAGUCAACAGCAAGGCACUCCUCAACAUUCCGCUACCUGCUGCCAUCACAUACUCUGGUGCCAGUCCUACGCACAUUCUUUGCCUUCUUCGUUCCAUAAAAAUUUGACUAAACAUGCCCAGUGAUUGAGCCCGACAUUGAGUUUUCUCCUUUCAAAGACCUGAGAAGCUGAACAGAAGUUCCUCCCGACAGCCAAGAAAGGCAGCAAGCUCCACCUGGUAGGCAAUAGCCGUGCACUCACACCUGGCUACUCAGCAAAGUAUGGGACAUACACAAUACUUCACGCCAGAUUCAACAAGAUCUCAUAAGUCAAGGUUCUUCACAUAAGGAGUGGCUAAAUAUAAAAUUAUGUCAUUGCAUUGCAUGGAUGAGGUGUGCAUUUUACUGAAUUUGUUCCUACCCUAAUCGACAGAAGUAAAAUAGAAUAAUCACAUGGAUACAGAAGGCAUGAAGUGUUCCCUGGACUUCAUCGUGAGCACGGGACUGUCUGUGUAUAGCUUGUGACUAAACAGCACUUUAGGGUGAAGGCCCUGAUGGACAGAUACCCUGACACCAAGCACCGGUUUGACUCAUGCCACAUCGAAGAAACUAACAAUAUUUGAGAAAUGAAUUCCAAUACCUGUUAAAUUACUCAAAGUAUAACCGAAGAUGAAAUUUGUUAAUGUAAAGGUAGUGCAACAUGCUUUGUUGUCAAGAUACAUGAGGCAUUAUUCCAACAUCAUCUUAGAGUAUACUAAAGUUGAUGAUAUUGUCCAUGCUGGACCAAAUGCGAUUUUACUAUAGCACCCUAUUUUGACCGAAUAAUAUGUCUACCUACAUUGUCUUCCAGACUUGGCACGAGCUGAGCUAGUAAUGCUUUCUAAUUUCUAGGCAUUUACAACGAGAUGGCCACUGCAGGCAAGACGAAGAACAGUGUCUUGAACACAUGGGUGAAGACCGUACAUGGGCAUGUCUGCUGGUGUGCCCAGACUAGCAAUGACAAUGGCAUGCUGGUGCUUGCAAAAUAGAUGCCCGCCAUGCAACACGUGAUCAACGUUUACCAGCACCCUAGACCCCUUACCUCCCCUUGGACCCAUACCCCAAUCAAAAAGGACUGGUGGUUUCAGGAAGUAAAAAAGGAUUUGUGUUUGGAGCAUUCAUAAUAUCCUUUCAACACCAAUUGCCCGCUAGGUUUUCAUAUAUGAACAAACUUCCUUUGGCUGUUCUGGCCAGUCUACAAUCAAAUACCCCAAGAAGGAUACCAUCUCAUAGCCAGCUCGUGGAGACAUUUCUAUCAGAUGAUGAGGCCUAAAAUAUAUCUUUUAGCCUUAUAAUUUGAGAAAACCUUUCUUCACUGUACAGGUCAUGAAGACACAUAAUAAGGAAGCAAAAACUAACUUGUAACAUAACAAAGGCAUAAAAAAAAUAAAAUCCAUUUUACUUUGUACCUAAUAUAUUGGAGAAUAACUUACCAACAUCCAAGCUGUCUAAAUUAUUUAGUGAAGCUCAUUCUCAUUGCUAGGUAAACAUGAGGAACCAAACAGCCAAUGCUUUUCGUGUUCUUUUUCAUUAAGUCAUGAAACUAUCACUUUGCACUUUCUACAUAAAGCCGCUUGGAUGACAAGCUAUUAACAUGAUUACAAAAUGGAGAACCUAGAUGUAGCUCAAUUUAGAACUGAACUGACAAGCCAAAAUUUCUCUUUGCAAACAAGAAGCCUACUCCCUUGACGCCACUUGCGGGCAUCACAUUCCAGAAGUACCUCAUCAACAGGCCGGUGAAGGAGAAGAGAUGGCGCUCCUUUGAACCCUGCGAGAAUGUUGGCGUUGCUUUGGCUGAAGAGAUCUAGCAACUUCGGGAUGCUCUCAGUGUCGCUACACAGGGCCUCCAGUGGCUCCUGUACAGUGGGUGCGCAGCAACUCGGACCAGCGACUCCAGUGCUCCCCAUUCAAGACGAUGAAGAUUUGUGGAGUAAUUGAAAAACACAGAGUCCCUCUUCAGAUUGACGAACAAAGAGAGGGAAGAAGUGACCCAGUUUACCAUCGGUCAAGCCAACAAUGGAAGGUGGCACGAAGAGCGGCAGGGCAGAAUUACAGCGUCGGUGUUCUUUGCUGUCAUCAACUGCGUCAAGCCCGAGCACCUGGUGAAGGACAUUUUGUACCCGAGUCCAGAUGCCUCAAGUGAGGCCAUGUGCAAUUGGAGGACACAUGAGGGCACCGCCGUUGCUGCCUACACAUCACUUAUAGCAGCAUUCGACACUCCUGUCGAGAUCCUCGAGACUGGGCUGCACAUUCGCCCAAAGUGCAGCUUCAUCGCUGCAUCGCCAGACCGCAUCAUGGUAAAGGAGGACAAUGAAGGGGGUCUUUUGGAGGUGAAGUGUCCAUCGUAGAAGAUUGGCUAACACCAAUAAAGGACUUUAAGGACAAAAAGUUUUGCUGCAAGGUCGUGGAUGGUUUGGUACGCCUUAAGAAAACUCACACCUACUUCUACCAGGUGCAAGGGCAGAUGGCGGUGACCGGACACGAGUGGUGCGAUUUUGUUCUCUGGACGAAUAACAAGACUGUUGCCAACUCAACACGCAUUGAGACCAUCACCUUCGACAAGGAGUUUGUUGAUCGAGUGCUGCUGCCAGAGCUCAUCUAUUUCGCCAAGCAUGCCCUCCUCCCGAAAGUAGCAACCGGUCAUGUAAGGCACUGAAGAGCCCUCAUAGCUCGCAGCAAGUAUGUCUCCUUCAAGCAGUACUGCACAGGGUUUUAUGUGGUGGAGGACGGUCCCAGACUGAAAACAAAACUGCGUAGGCUGGAGUAAAGAAACACCUGCAUGAAGCCUCAGGCUUCUCCAAGUGACAACGGCUCUUUUCAGAGCCAAAUAAACAUGCUUAUUGAGAGCCACGUUUUUGUAGAGAUUCCCGUGUCUUGGAAAAUGGUAUUUACUCGAGAAAAACAAAACACAGCGUGUGGUAGUUAAGUUUGUAAAGUUUAUUACGAUAAAAAGAAAGCCCCCCUUGCCUAUAACUCCACCAAAUAAGUCCGUCAAAAAUUACCGUGGUCCAUUUCACCAACAGCAAAAAGAGUGACAUUCCUGUCUACACACUGGCCAGUCCCCCACUUGCUGUCUUGAAUUCAGUCAAUAUUCUGGGUGUCACACUCGCAAGCAAUCUGGACUUUUCUGCCCAUAUUUUGAGUGUCGUCUCCAGGAUCUGACGGACGCUGGGUAUAAAGCACGUGGCCAAAUUAUGCAGGCCAAUAGUGCUGCGGAUGCUUUACACAGCACUUGUGCUCCCCACUAUGGCAAUCCUCGGCAAUCUAGUCCCCAGACCAACAGCGCCACUGCGAGUGCCUCGAGAGUGUGCAGCACUGUGCUACGUGCAUCAUCUGUGGCCAGUCAUCCAUCACCUUCGCCAGCUCGUAUGGCACACGUCUCGGAGCCCUUAGUGGUGACCCUUGUUGAGAGGCUACGUACGUCGCGGGUAUGCAGGCCUUGUCGGGUGUUCGAUGGGCCGCCUUCGGGAACCCCCUUGUCUUCUGCAGUGCGGGCGAGUAAAACUGGGCAACCCGAGUAGCUCCGCGGCAGAACCAUCCGCCAUAGUGAACCCAUGAAGCUGACAGAGACUUCCUAACUAUUCUCUUACCCACCUCAAGCCCCCUGCCAACUUCAAACAAGGAGUCUCAAGAACUUUGCGUUUUCUUUUCCCUUUGAGUGGCAUCGAGAUCCUCUUGUGUUCUUUUGCUCUUGCUUCUCUCGUGUGUGAUCUUUUUUUCGUCAAUAGUGUAUGUGGCAGUUGACUAGCAGGCGCAUAUGCAUAAGGGUUGUAUCCUUUCUGCUUAGCCACGUACAUUGCCAUCUGUGGAAAUCAAUUAUAAUUACAAUUACAAUAAAGUUUUGCUCUGGCAUCACCACAGCAAAACUUUGGGUGGGCGUUCUUUCGUAACUUUAUGGUAAAAUUAUAAAAUAUUUGUUUUAUUGAAUUAUUCAAAGAUGUGUGAAUGUUUUUAAAGCAAAAAUUGAAAGAACUUUGUGCAAAAGUUAUUACGUGGCAAUUUGUGAAAAAGGUAAAAAACCACGGAAGCAUAUUACUAAAUGCACACCCAUGCAGUGGAAUAUGCUGUCAACUAGCGGCAUUGGACAGAAGUCGAGCUUGGGUCAUUAAUACCAAACUUGACGUCACCUUCGACGCAAAGCAAGAGCGCAGCUACGUGACUGCAGGCCUCGCUGAGCCUGUAGGCACAAAAUGAUUUUAAAUGGGAGGGGCCGUGUUGCUGCGAUCAGAAAGCAAUCAAAAUGAAAGGAAAAAACAAGCUACUCACUCUGCCAUGCAAGUGCUGUGGACACUUAGGACUGUGCCCUCUUUUUUGACCAUGGCCCAAGGCUGGUGGUACCCUCCGAAGGUUUGACUAGCUUCCACUUUCAUGGUGACGAGAAUGAUGCCUGUGCUCCCUGUCGUAGCCCCAAAUAAGCAAACAGCAUGAACCCUACCACUCAAAAACAGGUUGCAACUGUCUUCAAGCAUGUAACUCUUGAAGACGGUUGCAAUCUAUAUCUACAUGUAACUCUUGAAGGCAGUUGCAUCUAUAUCUACCUCGUGGAGGGGUCCAAGCAUGGACCCCUCCACAAGGUAGAUAUAGAUGUUGCCAAUUUCUAGUCCCGGCCACUGGCGAGCAUCUAUGGUGAAGACGUGUUUCUGAAUAGCAGCAUCUAAUGGAUCUCGAAGCUCCUGGCCUGCGAUUGUCAGCUUUUGCCGGUAGCAUUUGUCGCCGGUUCUUUCAACUAGGUAAGAAGAGGACAUUUUGUUGGAGUAAAGUCGUGAAAUUCUGAUUGAUACGUCGCUUGUACAACACGGUAAAACAGUAACGACCGAGCAAUUCACACGCCUCGUUGCGAAGAUGGUAGUGUUUUCAACGUGCCAGCAGGGCCAGAAAUAUUGAACCAGAUGUCAUGAGAGGUCUGUCAACAGGAAGCCAGAGGUUGAUUGCACAACUGUUUUGUUUCCUGUCCUUGUAGUUUGGCAGAAAUACUUGUUACGAAUUGGUGACACGACAGGAUGCUAUAAAUCAAUAUUAAAACCUGUUUUGUUUGCUUGAUCUCAAGAGUGAAUUUUAAAACACGCGCUCUUAGGCACCUGUUUCCGGGUUGAGCAGCGUCGCAGUCAGCGUCGACGUAACCGUGCAUUGCAUUAUAGGACGUUCCCCGCUAAAGGUAGCAAGGAAAUUUUUUCUGCUGAAUUUAGAAGGAAAA
Molecule: long non-coding RNA, 6262 nt
Filed under: Ixodes scapularis (black-legged tick)
Lineage: Eukaryota; Metazoa; Arthropoda; Arachnida; Ixodida; Ixodidae
Description: uncharacterized LOC121834039, transcript variant X3
Rfam family: Histone 3' UTR stem-loop (bases 3873-3917)
Source: RNAcentral